UACAGAGGGUGCGAGCGUUAUUCGGAAUUACUGGGCGUAAAGGGCUCGUAGGCGGCCAACUAAGUCGGACGUGAAAUCCCUCAGCUUAACUGGGGAACUGCGUCCGAUACUGGAUGGCUUGGAUUUGGGAGAGGGAUGCGGAAUUCCAGGUGUAGCGGUGAAAUGCGUAGAUAUCUGGAGGAACACCGGUGGCGAAGGCGGCAUCCUGGACCAAUAUUGACGCUGAGGAGCGAAAGCUAGGGGAGCAAACGGG
Molecule: ribosomal RNA, 253 nt
Filed under: uncultured bacterium
Lineage: Bacteria
Description: partial 16S ribosomal RNA
Rfam family: Bacterial small subunit ribosomal RNA
Source: RNAcentral